GAUCAUGGCUCAGGAUGAACGCUAGCGACAGGCUUAACACAUGCAAGUCGAGGGGCAGCGGGGUGUAGCAAUACACCGCCGGCGACCGGCGCACGGGUGAGUAACGCGUAUCCAACCUGCCCAUCACUUGGGAAUAACCUUGCGAAAGUAAGACUAAUGCCCAAUGAUAUCCCACGAAGGCAUCCGAAUGGGAUUAAAGAUUUAUCGGUGAUGGAUGGGGAUGCGUCUGAUUAG
Molecule: ribosomal RNA, 234 nt
Filed under: uncultured bacterium
Lineage: Bacteria
Description: partial 16S ribosomal RNA
Rfam family: Bacterial small subunit ribosomal RNA
Source: RNAcentral